GGGGGAUUAGCUCAGCUG
RNAcentral lists this microRNA (18 nucleotides) under Sus scrofa (pig). RNAcentral's name for it is "ssc-mir263". Lineage: Eukaryota; Metazoa; Chordata; Mammalia; Artiodactyla; Suidae. The record is from RNAcentral.